Molecule: ribosomal RNA, 465 nt
Filed under: uncultured bacterium
Lineage: Bacteria
Description: partial 16S ribosomal RNA
Rfam family: Bacterial small subunit ribosomal RNA
Source: RNAcentral
GACGAACGCUGGCGGCGUGCUUAACACAUGCCAGUCGAACGGAAAGGCCCUGCUUGCAGGGUAUUCGAGUGGCGAACGGGUGAGUAACACGUGGGUGAUCUGCCCUGCACUUCGGGAUAAGCCUGGGAAACUGGGUCUAAUACCGGAUAGGAGCCAUUUUUAGUGUGAUGGUUGGAAAGUUUUUUCGGUGUAGGAUGAGCUCGCGGCCUAUCAGCUUGUUGGUGGGGUAAUGGCCUACCAAGGCGGCGACGGGUAGCCGGCCUGAGAGGGUGGACGGCCACAUUGGGACUGAGAUACGGCCCAGACUCCUACGGGAGGCAGCAGUGGGGAAUAUUGCACAAUGGGCGCAAGCCUGAUGCAGCGACGCCGCGUGGGGGAUGACGGCCUUCGGGUUGUAAACUCCUUUCGCUAGGGACGAAGCUUUUUGUGACGGUACCUAGAUAAGAAGCACCGGCUAACUACGUG